Molecule: ribosomal RNA, 468 nt
Filed under: uncultured bacterium
Lineage: Bacteria
Description: partial 16S ribosomal RNA
Rfam family: Bacterial small subunit ribosomal RNA
Source: RNAcentral
GACGAACGCUGGCGGCGUGCUUAACACAUGCAAGUCGAACGGAAAGGCCCUGCUUUUGUGGGGUGCUCGAGUGGCGAACGGGUGAGUAACACGUGGGUAACCUGCCCUUGACUUUGGGAUAACUUCGGGAAACUGGGGCUAAUACCGGAUAGGAGCUCCUGCUGCAUGGUGGGGGUUGGAGAGUUUCGGCGGUUGGGGAUGGACUCGCGGCUUAUCAGCUUGUUGGUGGGGUAGUGGCUUACCAAGGCUUUGACGGGUAGCCGGCCUGAGAGGGUGACCGGCCACAUUGGGACUGAGAUACGGCCCAGACUCCUACGGGAGGCAGCAGUGGGGAAUAUUGCACAAUGGGCGGAAGCCUGAUGCAGCAACGCCGCGUGCGGGAUGACGGCCUUCGGGUUGUAAACCGCUUUCGCCUGUGACGAAGCGUGAGUGACGGUAAUGGGUAAAGAAGCACCGGCUAACUACGUG